CGGGCGCCUGGAACAAGUGAGGUUACGUAAUACUUUUUUUGGAUUAAUUACACAAAUAAGUGAUUUAUUUUUCACUAUCUGAGACAAAGAGUGUCGGAAUUACCACACGAGUUGUACUGAAGGGAAAAUGCGAUUUUAAGGACUUUGCACAAGGCAGCCACAUAUGGCGCAUAAAAUUCCUUUGUGGGAAAUUUCCAAAAAUCGCAAGAUUUUAAUACAAUUAAAUGCACAAUGGUAUUAACUACUUUCGGAACAGGUGGCCGAAAUUUAUAAUUUUGCAAUUUUUAAACGAUUUUCGAUUACAUGGCGAAAUUUUCAGUGACAAUGGAUGAAUGGAAGCACCAGUGUCACGCAAAAAAAUUAAAGAUAUUGAGUUUCUAGUGUACUAAAAUAACGAAUAAAGUAUUAAUUACC
Molecule: long non-coding RNA, 414 nt
Organism: Tribolium castaneum (red flour beetle)
Lineage: Eukaryota; Metazoa; Arthropoda; Insecta; Coleoptera; Tenebrionidae
Exons: 2
Source: RefSeq, a predicted model, not a curated record